UACGGAGGAUCCAAGCGUUAUCCGGAUUUAUUGGGUUUAAAGGGUGCGUAGGCGGUUCUGUAAGUCAGUGGUGAAAUACUCUAGCUUAACUAGAGGGGUGCCAAUGAUACUGCAGAACUUGAGUACAGAUGAGGUAGGCGGAAUUGACGGUGUAGCGGUGAAAUGCAUAGAUAUCGUCAAGAACACCGAUAGCGAAGGCAGCUUACUGGGCUGUAACUGACGCUGAGGCACGAAAGUGUGGGGAUCAAACAGG
Molecule: ribosomal RNA, 253 nt
Filed under: uncultured bacterium
Lineage: Bacteria
Description: partial 16S ribosomal RNA
Rfam family: Bacterial small subunit ribosomal RNA
Source: RNAcentral